GUGGACUACUUGACCUUCGGGGGAUUUGUUGGGCGGCGAGCGGCGGACGGGUGAGUAAUGCCUGGGAACAUGCCUUAGUGUGGGGGAUAACCAUUGGAAACGAUGGCUAAUACCGCAUAAUCUCUACGGAGCAAAGAGGGGGACCUUCGGGCCUCUCGCGCUAAGAUUGGCCCAGGUGGGAUUAGCUAGUAGGUGGGGUAACGGCUCACCUAGGCGACGAUCCCUAGCUGGUCUGAGAGGAUGAUCAGCCACACUGGAACUGAGACACGGUCCAGACUCCUACGGGAGGCAGCAGUGGGGAAUAUUGCACAAUGGGGGAAACCCUGAUGCAGCCAUGCCGCGUGUGUGAAGAAGGCCUUCGGGUUGUAAAGCACUUUCAGCAGUGAGGAAGGCGGUAUCGUUAAUAGCGGUAUCGUUUGACGUUAGCUGCAGAAGAAGCACCGGCUAACUCCGUGCCAGCACCAGCCGGGUAAUAA
This 476-nucleotide ribosomal RNA is filed under the name Photobacterium ganghwense. RNAcentral's name for it is "bacterial SSU rRNA". It matches the Rfam family "Bacterial small subunit ribosomal RNA", at positions 66 to 526 of the family's 1533-position model. The record is from RNAcentral. Lineage: Bacteria; Pseudomonadati; Pseudomonadota; Gammaproteobacteria; Vibrionales; Vibrionaceae.